UGUAAAGCACAGGCCCCAGAGUGGCAUCAGCCGAGGGGUGAGGGAGCUGGGGUAGUUAUACAACCCCAUUCCCUGGUGUUUCUAACGUGGCAAAGUAGCCUUGGGGAUCAAGUCCUCAGGCCUGGAUGCAGACACUGGUGGCAGCUACAAGGACACAGGAACACACUAACUGGUUCAGCCCAAUGGAAAGGGGUGUGCGCAUAGACGGAUUCCACCUCUCAUGACAGCAGCCGUCUUCGGUCAUAACCACCAUGUUUGCCCGGAGGAUCCUUAGCUGGUUCCUGCAGCCUGGUUUCCCAGAAAACUAUAAGUGGACAAAACAUUAGAGGGAAUUCAACUGAGUCCCCAGUAAAUGGCACUCUGCGACCCUGGAUGUAUCUGAAUCUUCAUUCUCAUGGCAUCUUGGGCCCUGGUCGUCACCUCCUGGGAUCAAGUUUUUCUGGAACAGGGGAGCACAAUGACAGUCUUCAUACACUUUUUUUUUUAAUCACUAAAGUAAUAAAUGCAUAUAAUAAAAGUUGAGGCACCCAAAAAUGAA
This is a non-coding RNA of Ictidomys tridecemlineatus (thirteen-lined ground squirrel), 538 nucleotides long. The record is from RefSeq and is a predicted model, not a curated record. NCBI's taxonomy places the organism in Eukaryota, Metazoa, Chordata, Mammalia, Rodentia, Sciuridae.